CAUAGGUUAAUGAGGCGAACCGGGGGAACUGAAACAUCUAAGUACCCCGAGGAAAAGAAAUCAACCGAGAUUCCCCCAGUAGCGGCGAGCGAACGGGGAGCAGCCCAGAGCCUGAAUCAGUGUGUGUGUUAGUGGAAGCGUCUGGAAAGGCGCGCGAUACAGGGUGACAGCCCCGUACACAAAAAUGCACAUGCUGUGAGCUCGAUGAGUAGGGCGGGACACGUGGUAUCCUGUCUGAAUAUGGGGGGACCAUCCUCCAAGGCUAAAUACUCCUGACUGACCGAUAGUGAACCAGUACCGUGAGGGAAAGGCGAAAAGAACCCCGGCGAGGGGAGUGAAAAAGAACCUGAAACCGUGUACGUACAAGCAGUGGGAGCACGCUUAGGCGUGUGACUGCGUACCUUUUGUAUAAUGGGUCAGCGACUUAUAUUCUGUAGCAAGGUUAACCGAAUAGGGGAGCCGAAGGGAAACCGAGUCUUAACUGGGCGUUAAGUUGCAGGGUAUAGACCCGAAACCCGGUGAUCUAGCCAUGGGCAGGUUGAAGGUUGGGUAACACUAACUGGAGGACCGAACCGACUAAUGUUGAAAAAUUAGCGGAUGACUUGUGGCUGGGGGUGAAAGGCCAAUCAAACCGGGAGAUAGCUGGUUCUCCCCGAAAGCUAUUUAGGUAGCGCCUCGUGAAUUCAUCUCCGGGGGUAGAGCACUGUUUCGGCAAGGGGGUCAUCCCGACUUACCAACCCGAUGCAAACUGCGAAUACCGGAGAAUGUUAUCACGGGAGACACACGGCGGGUGCUAACGUC
RNAcentral lists this ribosomal RNA (801 nucleotides) under Escherichia coli. RNAcentral describes it as "partial 23S ribosomal RNA". It matches the Rfam family "Bacterial large subunit ribosomal RNA", at positions 165 to 1005 of the family's 2925-position model. Lineage: Bacteria; Pseudomonadati; Pseudomonadota; Gammaproteobacteria; Enterobacterales; Enterobacteriaceae. The record is from RNAcentral.